Molecule: microRNA precursor, 70 nt
Filed under: Mus caroli (Ryukyu mouse)
Lineage: Eukaryota; Metazoa; Chordata; Mammalia; Rodentia; Muridae
Description: microRNA 694 (MGP_CAROLIEiJ_G0007606.1)
Source: RNAcentral
AAAGGCCAGCUCAGGCAUCACUUUCAACCCAAGACCAGGCUGAAAAUGUUGCCUGAGGCAGUCUCUGCCU